CCUACGGGUGGCAGCAGUGGGGAAUAUUGCACAAUGGGGGAAACCCUGAUGCAGCGACGCCGCGUGAGUGAAGACGUAAUUCGUUAUGUAAAGCUCUAUCAGCAGGGAAGAAAAUGACGGUACCUGAGUAAGAAGCCACGGCUAACUACGAGCCAGCAGCCGCGGUAAUACGUAGGGGGCAAGCGUUAUCCGGAUUUACUGGGUGUAAAGGGAGCGUAGGCGGUAGUGCAAGUCUGGAGUGAAAGGCGGGGGCUCAACCCCGGGACUGCUCUGGAAACUGUACGGCUGGAGUGCGGGGGAGGUAGGUGGAAUUCCUAGUGUAGCGGUGAAAUGCGUAGAUAUUAGGAAGAACCCCAGUGGCGAAGGCAGCUUGCUGGAGUGUAACUGACGUUGAGGCUCGAAAGCGUGGGGAGCGAACAGGAUUAGAUACCCUGGUAGUC
This 440-nucleotide ribosomal RNA is filed under the name uncultured bacterium. Its description in RNAcentral is "partial 16S ribosomal RNA". It matches the Rfam family "Bacterial small subunit ribosomal RNA", at positions 338 to 795 of the family's 1533-position model. The record is from RNAcentral.